UACAUGGGGUGCAAACGUUGCUCGGAAUUACUGGGCGUAAAGCGUGCGCAGGCGGUUCGUCGUGUCCGAUGUGAAAGCCCCGGGCUCAACCUGGGAAUGGCAUUGGAAACUGGCGGACUCGAGUGUGGCAGAGGGGGGUGGAAUUCCGCGUGUAGCAGUGAAAUGCGUAGAGAUGCGGAGGAACACCGAUGGCGAAGGCAGCCCCCUGGGCUAACACUGACGCUCAGGCACGAAAGCGUGGGGAGCAAACAGG
Molecule: ribosomal RNA, 253 nt
Filed under: uncultured bacterium
Lineage: Bacteria
Description: partial 16S ribosomal RNA
Rfam family: Bacterial small subunit ribosomal RNA
Source: RNAcentral